RNAcentral lists this ribosomal RNA (322 nucleotides) under uncultured eukaryote. RNAcentral describes it as "partial 18S ribosomal RNA". It matches the Rfam family "Eukaryotic small subunit ribosomal RNA", at positions 1470 to 1796 of the family's 1831-position model. The record is from RNAcentral.
CCCUUAGAUGUUCUGGGCCGCACGCGUGCUACACUGAGUGGAUCAGCGGGUCAGGUUGCGCGAAAGCGUUUCCUAAUCUUUAAAUCCGCUCGUGAUGGGGAUUGACGGUUGCAAUUUUCUGUCAUGAACGAGGAAUACCUUGUAAGCGCGGGUCAUCAUCCCGCGCUGAAUACGUCCCUGCCCUUUGUACACACCGCCCGUCGCUCCUACCGAUUGAGUGGUCCGGUGAGGCUUUGGGAUCUGAGCGGAAUGAGCGUUUCGCUGUUUCUGCUCGGAAAACUCAGUCGAACCUUAUCAUUUAGAGGAAGGAGAAGUCGUAACA